This is a microRNA precursor of Gallus gallus (chicken), 67 nucleotides long. The record is from Ensembl. NCBI's taxonomy places the organism in Eukaryota, Metazoa, Chordata, Aves, Galliformes, Phasianidae.
CCAGUGUUUGUGUCCGAUAGCGCACCGCGUGCCGUGCAUCUGCUGUGCCGUUCUGACACAGCUCUGG